RNAcentral lists this long non-coding RNA (517 nucleotides) under Ananas comosus (pineapple). RNAcentral's name for it is "long non-coding RNA (ACOM_LNC041872)". Lineage: Eukaryota; Viridiplantae; Streptophyta; Magnoliopsida; Poales; Bromeliaceae. The record is from RNAcentral.
CAGCUCGAAUACAUAUAUUUUAUAUUUAUAUAAUUUAUUAAUUUAUAUUUUUAUAUAUAAAUAAAUAAUUAUACAUAAUAUAUAUUUUUAUUAUUUAAUUUUUAGCAAAAUAAAAAUAUAAAUGCAAGCUUAAUUAUAAAANGAAUACAUAUAUUUUAUAUUUAUAUAAUUUAUUUAAUUUAUAUUUAUAUAUAUAAAUAAAUAAUUAUAUUUAUAAUAUAUAUUUUAAUUAUUUAAUUUUUAGCAAAAUAAAAAUAUAAAGGUGAGCUUAAUUAUAAAAAAAAAACUCAUUUAUAUGUAAAGUUUCAACUAUUAGAUCAAAGUCUAAUGGAUAAAAUUUUAUAAAUUUAUUUUUUAUAUAUAUUCAAUCUAAUCUUUUUCAACUUAUUGUUCGUUGGCUAGCUCGUGAGCCAGCUCGUGUUCGGCUCGUUUAUUAACGAGCUGAACACGAGCUGAGUUUUUCAGCUUGAUACUUUAACGAGCCAGCUCGUGUUCGGCUCGUUUACACCCCUACUAU